This 958-nucleotide long non-coding RNA is filed under the name Salvator merianae (Argentine black and white tegu). Its description in RNAcentral is "lncRNA (ENSSMRG00000023274.1)". The record is from RNAcentral. Lineage: Eukaryota; Metazoa; Chordata; Lepidosauria; Squamata; Teiidae.
AUUCUAUCCAAUGGUGGCUGUGUCCACUGGGACUGGCAAGGAACCUGACUGGAAGUAGUGCUAGGGCCGACACUCUUAAGGCUGUAGUUCAACUGAAAGGCACAUGAAAAUUAACAUCACUGGACAUCACAGGUUAUAACCAUUUAAACCAACCAGAACUGGAACAAGUGUGAAGAAGGAAAGGGAAGCAGACUUCGAAGCUGCUGGCUGUGGUACAGUCCUCUCCACCUUGCUCUUAAGUGCCAGCCAUCCCUCGAAUCCAGUUUGCUUCCAAAUAGUAUGGAAUUCUGGGAAGAAAUUUUCUUCUGUGUGAGAAAAUUCUUCCAGAGAAAACUUCACUUGCAUGAAGGGUAUUUUUUGCUCUUGGCUUUACAGAAGAUUUAAAUGCAAUCAAGGACCAUUUAUUGCAAUACAAGAGGGUCAGUUCUUGAGGAAGUUUCAUGGACCCAAUUAUGGAGAAGUAUUCUGAGAGAGCAUUACAAUGACAUUUAACACUCUUCUUCACUGGCAAAAAGAAAAAGCAAUGACAGACUCUAUUGCCAAAUUAUAGACUGCUUCUGAUAAUACUCAGAAGCAUUAUAUCCUUUUUAUAGCAAUGAGGGCAUAAUCUUUCAUUUUGCAUCAUUUCAUUUAGUCAUUUGCAUCAGUACCAGUAUUACCUGUGUCUAUAAGGGACCUCUUGUUGACUCUGAAUUCAAUAUUUCCCUUUUACAUUGAUUGGUCUUUUCUUCUAGAACAAUGCUAUUUUAAUCUUAUGGUUUUCCAUUAUUCUAGUAUAUGUAUUUGGUUUAGAAGUCCCAUUUUGUUUCUCAGUAUGUACAUGAUGUAUUUUCAUUGAAUCCUUGACAGUAAAAUAGAGAUUGGGUUGGUGUAAGACCCUGCAAAACACCCAUUUUAAGAAGUGCAUUUUCUGUGCUACUCAGCCUGUGACCAUAAUGGUAUUUAUAUCUAGAUACUU